This 454-nucleotide ribosomal RNA is filed under the name uncultured Rikenellaceae bacterium. Its description in RNAcentral is "partial 16S ribosomal RNA". It matches the Rfam family "Bacterial small subunit ribosomal RNA", at positions 341 to 792 of the family's 1533-position model. Lineage: Bacteria; Pseudomonadati; Bacteroidota; Bacteroidia; Bacteroidales; Rikenellaceae. The record is from RNAcentral.
ACGGAAGGCAGCAGUGAGGAAUAUUGGUCAAUGGACGCAAGUCUGAACCAGCCAUGCCGCGUGCAGGAAUAAGGCCCUAUGGGUCGUAAACUGCUUUUGUGGUGGAGCAAUAAGUCGUACGUGUACGGCGAUGAGAGUACAUCACGAAUAAGCAUCGGCUAACUCCGUGCCAGCAGCCGCGGUAAUACGGAGGAUGCAAGCGUUAUCCGGAUUUAUUGGGUUUAAAGGGUGCGUAGGCUGUGGUCCAAGUCAGGGGUGAAAGCCCGGAGCUCAACUCCGGAACUGCCUUUGAUACUGGAUUGCUGGAAUACGGAUGCCGUGGGAGGAAUGAGUAGUGUAGCGGUGAAAUGCAUAGAUAUUACUCAGAACACCGAUUGCGAAGGCAUCUCACGAAUCCGUCAUUGACGCUGAGGCACGAAAGCGCGGGGAUCAAACAGGAUUAGAUACCCUGGUA